Molecule: ribosomal RNA, 535 nt
Filed under: uncultured bacterium
Lineage: Bacteria
Description: bacterial SSU rRNA
Rfam family: Bacterial small subunit ribosomal RNA
Source: RNAcentral
GGGUGAGUAACGCGUGGGUAACCAGCCUGUACAGGGGGAUAACAGCUGGAAACGGCUGCUAAUACCGCAUAAGCGCACGAGGAGACAUCUCCUUGUGUGAAAAACUCCGGUGGUACAGGAUGGGCCCGCGUCUGAUUAGCUGGUUGGCAGGGUAACGGCCUACCAAGGCAACGAUCAGUAGCCGGUCUGAGAGGAUGAACGGCCACAUUGGAACUGAGACACGGUCCAAACUCCUACGGGAGGCAGCAGUGGGGGAAUAUUGCACAAUGGGGGGAAACCCCCGAUGCAGCAACGCCGCGUGAGUGAAGAAGUAUUUCGGUAUGUAAAGCUCUAUCAGCAGGGAAGAUAAUGACGGUACCUGACUAAGAAGCUCCGGCUAAAUACGUGCCAGCAGCCGCGGUAAUACGUAUGGAGCAAAGCGUUAUCCGGAUUUACUGGGUGUAAAGGGUGCGUAGGUGGCAGUGCAAGUCAGAUGUGAAAGGCCGGGGCUCAACCCCGGAGCUGCAUUUGAAACUGCAUAGCUAGAGUACAGGAG